This 771-nucleotide unclassified non-coding RNA is filed under the name Hevea brasiliensis (rubber tree). Lineage: Eukaryota; Viridiplantae; Streptophyta; Magnoliopsida; Malpighiales; Euphorbiaceae. The record is from RNAcentral.
CUUCUUCUUCUUUUUCUUCUUCUCCUUCUUCUUUUAUAAGUUUACUUUGUGUGAUUGCAUGGGCGUGGACUGGAGAUCGUGCGCCUUUGGGUUCCUCAGGCGCUAUGGGCUGCGUCUGUGCGCCUCGAGCGCACCUCGGGCACGCCUCAGGCGAGCCUUUGAUAAGCAAUUCAAUCACUUAUAUACAAAAUUUGUCCAUCACUCUCUCUGUAUUUUACAUUGCAUGUUAUCAGAACCCGGACUAAAUUUUGAGUUUCAGCCGCACAUAAAGCUGUAUAUUUUCGCAUUGAAUUAAAAUUCUAAUUAAUUGUCAAGUGACAACAAUAUGAUUGCAUUGCACUUGAAGGGAGUGUUGAGAAACCACAUUGAAAAAAAUAUAAAGUAAAAGAGCAUUAUAUUUAUAUAAGUAGUUAGCUUGCACCAUUAAACUGGCCAAUUAUUUUGACGCACUUAUACAAACCCAUAUUAAAAUGAAUUAAUAGUAAUACGAAUCUAACAAAAACCCAGAACGACAGAAGAUCCAAAGCAAUAAAAAAGCUAGGGUUCCAAUAUCAGAAGCAGAUCCGGAACUCACAAACCAUAAAAAUCACAGACCCUAUACUUCCAAACUGAUUUAAAAUACAAUAUAAACUUACAAAAACACAGGCAAAUACUUAGAGAUAUGCGUAGAGCUGCAAACGAUAGAAUCAGAAAAUAACCCAGAAUCAAAAUCAUACAGUAAAUUAGCAACAACUGAGAAAUUUGACUAUAAUAGAAAAAAUUUGAAGAAAG